GGUGAGUAACACGUGGGUAACCUGCCUGUAAGACUGGGAUAACUCCGGGAAACCGGGGCUAAUACCGGAUGCUURAUUGAACCGCAUGGUUCAAUUAUAAAAGGUGGCUUUUAGCUACCACUUACAGAUGGACCCGCGGCGCAUUAGCUAGUUGGUGAGGUAACGGCUCACCAAGGCRACGAUGCGUAGCCGACCUGAGAGGGUGAUCGGCCACACUGGGACUGAGACACGGCCCAGACUCCUACGGGAGGCAGCAGUAGGGAAUCUUCCGCAAUGGACGAAAGUCUGACGGAGCAACGCCGCGUGAGUGAUGAAGGUUUUCGGAUCGUAAAACUCUGUUGUUAGGGAAGAACAAGUACCGUUCGAAUAGGGCGGUACCUUGACGGUACCUAACCAGAAAGCCACGGCUAACUACGUGCCAGCAGCCGCGGUAAUACGUAGGUGGCAAGCGUUGUCCGGAAUUAUUGGGCGUAAAGCGCGCGCAGGCGGUUUCUUAAGUCUGAUGUGAAAGCCCCCGGCUCAACCGGGGAGGGUCAUUGGAAACUGGGGAACUUGAGUGCAGAAGAGGAGAGUGGAAUUCCACGUGUAGCGGUGAAAUGCGUAGAGAUGUGGAGGAACACCAGUGGCGAAGGCGACUCUCUGGUCUGUAACUGACGCUGAGGCGCGAAAGCGUGGGGAGCGAACAGGAUUAGAUACCCUGGWGUCCACGCC
This 711-nucleotide ribosomal RNA is filed under the name Bacillus sp. AS39. RNAcentral's name for it is "bacterial SSU rRNA". It matches the Rfam family "Bacterial small subunit ribosomal RNA", at positions 105 to 801 of the family's 1533-position model. Lineage: Bacteria; Bacillati; Bacillota; Bacilli; Caryophanales; Bacillaceae. The record is from RNAcentral.